UCCCUUAGGUCAGCGGCGGACGGGUGAGUAACACGUGGGUAACCUGCCUGUAAGACUGGGAUAACUCCGGGAAACCGGGGCUAAUACCGGAUGCUUGAUUGAACCGCAUGGUUCACUCAUAAAAGGUGGCUUUUAGCUACCACUUGCAGAUGGACCCGCGGCGCAUUAGCUAGUUGGUGAGGUAACGGCUCACCAAGGCGACGAUGCGUAGCGACCUGAGAGGGUGAUCGGCCACACUGGGACUGAGACACGGCCCAGACUCCUACGGGAGGCAGCAGUAGGGAAUCUUCCGCAAUUGGACGAAAGUCUGACGGAGCAACGCCGCGUGAUUGAUGAAGGUUUCCGGAUCGUANAACUCUGUUGUNAGGGAAGAACAAGUACCGCUCGAAUAGGGCGGUACCUUGACGGUACCUAACCAGAAAGCCACGGNUAACUACGUGCCAGCAGCCGUCGGUUAUACGUAGGUGGCAAGCGUUGUCCGGAAUUAUUGGGCGUUAUGCGCGCGCAGGCGGUUUCUUAAGUCUGUAUGUGUUAACCCCCGGCUCAACCGGGGAGGGUCAUUGGAAACUGG
This 571-nucleotide ribosomal RNA is filed under the name uncultured Bacilli bacterium. RNAcentral's name for it is "bacterial SSU rRNA". It matches the Rfam family "Bacterial small subunit ribosomal RNA", at positions 83 to 636 of the family's 1533-position model. Lineage: Bacteria; Bacillati; Bacillota; Bacilli. The record is from RNAcentral.